AUGGGGCAAGGCCCCCGCCCGCCAUCCCCCCGCACCGCCGCGCACUCCCCGGCAAAGGCAGCACAUCAAUGUGCCGGUGCACCCGGCCGAGUGGCACUGGCAGCAUCGCGUGCCUCUGCCGUACCCCGACGCUGCCGCAUGACUGGCAUUUGGAUCCGGAGAGGAUCCCAGUGCCGGCGGCGCCGCGGUCGGCGAGGGCCAUGCGGAGGAGGUGCAGCGCCGGCGGGCGUUGCUGACGCCGGAGCAGCGCGCCGAACCGCAGUACGCCGUCGACUCGCCCAACUGGGCUCGAUGGUUCGCCUUCGAGCACGAGGAGGCGAGACGACGCGGUGUCCGCGGCGUCGACCGCAGCCUGCAGCCGCCCCCGCUCGUCGUCCGCGACGAGGACCAGGAGGCCGAGGCCGCCUACUAGGCGGCCAUUAA
This 423-nucleotide ribosomal RNA is filed under the name Triticum aestivum (bread wheat). RNAcentral's name for it is "partial small subunit ribosomal RNA". Lineage: Eukaryota; Viridiplantae; Streptophyta; Magnoliopsida; Poales; Poaceae. The record is from RNAcentral.